AUGUGGCUGCAUCCAAAGGACAUACUGUUACUAGAUGCGUGUCCUAACUUUGCUCAAAUGAUUCAUGCGAAUGGAAACUUGCCAUUGCACUGUGCUUGUAUCCAUGGACAUAGGGAUAUAACCUGGAUGCUCCUAAGGUGUGAUUCAAGCCUCGCUCUGCACUAUAACAACAAUGGUUUUACACCACUGCACAUGGCAUCAAUGAAUGGCAGAGUUUCAGUCCUUGAUGAAUUUGGUAAGAUGGCUCCGGUAUCUUUUCACUAUGCCACAUAUGAGGGAGAGACAGUUUUUCAUCUGGCUGUGAGAUAUGGUCAAUAUCAAGCUCUAGUGUAUUUAGUGCAUGUCUCUAAUGGUACAAAUCUCAUUCACCGUCAAGAUCAAAAUGGCAACACCAUUUUACAUCUUGUAGUUUUUAGUGGGCGUCAACAGAUAGUGGAGUACUUGAUCAACAAAACAAAAGUGGAGAUUAAUUCUCAGAACUUUCAAGGACUCACAGCACUUGACAUCCUUGACCAGGCCAAGAACAGUAAAGAAUGUCACCGUCUUAAAGCCAAGUUUAUUAAAGCUGGCGGUAAAAGCAGUAUUGAAUUGUUAUCUGAUUCACCAGAAGUAGAAAGAACCAAUGGUCAGCUGCCUAUCAUAAGUGAGAAUUCUUCAGGGCAGGGUUGCAUAGAUGAUGAUUUGGAUAUGUCCGUUUUAAAUGAAAUGGUUUCUUGUGAAUGCAAGUGGUCACCAAGAUUCAGCAAGGGAAGCAACUCCAGAAUGCCAUCACCAUUCCGUCAAGUUGGGGAGACAUUUAACAAUGAAACAUAUAAAAAAGUCCUUAUUCCCAACCAAUAUGCGACAACAAAAGCAUUUUAACAGAAGGCACUGGGAAAAUGUAGGUGACCAUCACACUACUCACCGAAAUAAGCAGCAUGAAAUACAUAUGGAAGCCUUACAAAAUGCUAGGAACACUGUAACACUAGUUGCCAUUUUGAUUGCUACAGUUACAUUUGCUGCUGGAAUUAGCCCUCCUGGUGGUUUUUAUCAGGAUGGAGAAAUGAAAGGGAAGUCAAUACUUGGUAGAACAACAGCUUUCAAGGUCUUUGCAAUAAGCAACAAUGUUGCAUUGUUUACCUCUCUAUCCAUAGUUGUUGUUCUUGUCAGCAUCAUCCCCUAUCAGAGGAAGCCACAGAUGAGACUAUUGGUUGCUGCUCACAAGGUCAUGUGGGUAGCUGUGGCAUUCAUGGCAACAGGAUAUGUUGCAGCCACAUGGGUGAUCAGUACUCACAGUUAAGGGACAGAACGGGUGUUUGUCACAGUAAUAGCAGUAAGAAGUGGCACCCUGGGUGUGGUUUUUAUUGCUCUAGGGGUGCUGCUGGUUGAGCACUGGCUGCGGAAAUUGAAGUGGAGAAAACAAAGAAAGGAUAGAGGGGAAGCUGUUGACAUAGAAAGUCAAAUUUCAGAUGUUGAGAGCACAUAGCAACAAGGAUAUCACUCGUACUGAACGUUUUCUCCCAAGGUAUUAAUAAGAAGAUCUAGUUACUGAUUAGCAAGUGAAUUUUACUUGGUUGUUACUUUUAUAAAAGAAUUUGAUAGAUUUUAGUUUUUUUCUUUCUAUACACUGGCAGGUUCCAGAGAGGCUGGGCUUCUUAGUUUAAUGUAGCGGUAACAAUGUAGGAUUUUCUUACAAAUUGUUUUUGUUCAGUAUUUUUUUUUUUCCUCUUGUGCUUCUUUGGAAGUGUGAGGUUCCCAGUGAUGUUGUUUCUGUACAUGUAUAAAGUGAAAAAAAUAUUGUUUGAGACCCCUAUUUGUUUAAUAUGCAGACAUAAUGAUUUUAACCAUUAAACAAACAAAAUAAAAGUUAUAUACCCAGCAGAAUAUUUAUACCACAGUUUUUGUAAUAUAUCAACCAAAUCAAGAGUCAAAGUAAUAAAAAUAGUGACACAGGUCAUGAAUUCAAAACUGCA
RNA transcript from Quercus lobata, 1952 nucleotides. It is a transcript of the gene named ankyrin repeat-containing protein ITN1-like, with no coding region annotated. NCBI's taxonomy places the organism in Eukaryota, Viridiplantae, Streptophyta, Magnoliopsida, Fagales, Fagaceae. The record is from RefSeq and is a predicted model, not a curated record. The transcript has 3 exons.